Molecule: ribosomal RNA, 253 nt
Filed under: uncultured microorganism
Description: partial 16S ribosomal RNA
Rfam family: Bacterial small subunit ribosomal RNA
Source: RNAcentral
UACGGAGGGUGCGAGCGUUAUUCGGAAUCACUGGGCGUAAAGGGCGCGUAGGCGGCCUGGUAAGUCAGGGGUGAAAUCCCACGGCUCAACCGUGGAAUUGCCUUUGAAACUGCUGGGCUUGGAUCCUGGAGAGGGUGGCGGAAUUCCUGGUGUAGGAGUGAAAUCCGUAGAUAUCGGGAGGAACACCAGUAGCGAAGGCGGCCAUCUGGCUGAUAACUGACGCUGAGGUGCGAGAGCGUGGGGAGCAAACAGG